UACGGGGGGGGGCAAGCGUUGUUCGGAAUUACUGGGCGUAAAGGGCUCGUAGGCGGCCAACUAAGUCAGACGUGAAAUCCCUCGGCUUAACCGGGGAACUGCGUCUGAUACUGGAUGGCUUGAAUUCGGGAGAGGGAUGUGGAAUUCCAGGUGUAGCGGUGAAAUGCGUAGAUAUCUGGAGGAACACCGGUGGCGAAGGCGGCAUCCUGGACCGAUAUUGACGCUGAUGCGCGAAAGCCAGGGGAGCAAACGGG
RNAcentral lists this ribosomal RNA (254 nucleotides) under uncultured bacterium. Its description in RNAcentral is "partial 16S ribosomal RNA". It matches the Rfam family "Bacterial small subunit ribosomal RNA", at positions 524 to 776 of the family's 1533-position model. The record is from RNAcentral.